AGCUUUGCACAGUGGCAGUAUUGUAGCCAAUGAGGUUUAUCCAAGGUGCGAUUAUUGCUAAUUGAAAAAUUUUUGAGAUUUACACAGCUAAAAACAUUUUGAGAGAAACCUGUAAUUGCAUCAGUGUUAUAGUACACU
Molecule: non-coding RNA, 138 nt
Organism: Canis lupus familiaris (dog)
Lineage: Eukaryota; Metazoa; Chordata; Mammalia; Carnivora; Canidae
Source: Rfam